Molecule: microRNA precursor, 158 nt
Filed under: Paramuricea clavata
Lineage: Eukaryota; Metazoa; Cnidaria; Anthozoa; Malacalcyonacea; Plexauridae
Source: RNAcentral
UAUAUGUAUGUUAUUUACCGGCUGCGAGGUCCGGAUGAGAAAAACUGUGCCCGAGGUCUUGAAAACGGCCCGAGCCCGAAGGGCGAGGGACGUUUUUAAGACCGAGGGCACAGUUUUUCUCAUCCGGACCGACGCUGCCGGUAAAUAACGUGUUUAUU